Phyllosticta paracitricarpa is the source of this 92-nucleotide non-coding RNA. The record is from the annotation of a GenBank genome assembly. NCBI's taxonomy places the organism in Eukaryota, Fungi, Ascomycota, Dothideomycetes, Botryosphaeriales, Phyllostictaceae.
GCAGCGGUAGCUCAGCGGCAGAGCGUAGGAUUGCAGUUCACUCACAACAGCAUCCCAUCCCGAGGUCCCCGGUUCAAUCCCGGGUCGCUGCU